CUUCCCCAAAUCCCCGUUUCCAGUAUUUGUCUCAAUUUAAGUUCUUGUUCCAUCGAUUCCAUUGGGUUUCCAACCUGCAGUAGUUCAAAAAAAGGGGUUCUUUUUCGAUUCCAUUGGGUUUCCAGUAUUUGUCUCAAUUAGCAUUUUUGGCUCCCUAGUGUCUAUUUCAUACUGGGUUCUCUUUAUAUCCAAUCAGAAUUUGUCUGCAUGCUGGAUGUUAUCGGCUGUGGCGGUAGUGUUUUGAUCGAUGCAUAGGGAAAUUAAUUAUUGGAUGAGGAAAAGAAAUAAUUGCACUGGUUGAUGAUGGUUUGUGUGGAUAUAAAGAAGUUGAAUUUAUAGGCAAAAUUGGCACGCAUUGGGGAGGAAGGAAGGAGUCUGGGUACUGAUUUAAUUAAUUUAAAAAGAAAAAAAGUGGUAAUCAGCAUCCGUGGAUGUCAGAAGAACAUAGAAAGAAGGCAAAUUUUUAUUUGGGUGAAGAUCGGGGCUUUAUGUAAAAAUUACCUUGGGUACCAAUGUCCUUAAUUUUUUUUUUUUUUUUUUUUUUUUUAAUAUAUUUGGGGUUAGAAUUCUUGAUGCCUACUUUUGUAGACUAGAGGCUUCAGCUGUGAUACCUAUAAAACAAGAUAAACUGGAUAGCACAGAGACAGAGAAUCUGCUGAACCACCCUCUUUGUUCUUUAAGGUUAUGAAUACCUUGCUACAGCUGGUGUAAUGAAGAAAUUUCUUAUAGUCUCAUGAGGUUACUUAGUUUUUUUCAAACAUUUUGAAAGUAGACCAAGCUUGCUUAUAUUCCAAGAUUCUUGAACUACCUCACCUUUUUCUUUCACAGAGUUAUGUUGUAUCAUUUCUGCAAACAACUGCUUCCAAUAUCAUAAAGAGAUCAAUAGUAACAAACUUGUUUGUAUUA
Elaeis guineensis (African oil palm) is the source of this 906-nucleotide non-coding RNA. Lineage: Eukaryota; Viridiplantae; Streptophyta; Magnoliopsida; Arecales; Arecaceae. The record is from RefSeq and is a predicted model, not a curated record.